GAUUAACGCUGGCGGCGUGCCUAACACAUGCAAGUCGAACGAUGAAACUUAACUGAUUUCUUCGGAAUGAUUUUAAGUGGCUUAGUGGCGGACGGGUGAGUAACGCGUGAGUAACCUGCCUUGGAGAAGGGGAUAGCCUUUGGAAACGAAGAAUAAUACCCUAUGAUAUGAUAAUAUCUCAUGAUAUUAUCAUCAAAGAUUUAUCGCUCUAAGAUGGACUUGCGUCUGAUUAGUUAGUUGGUGAGGUAACAGCUCACCAAGGCAGCGAUCAGUAGCCGGCUUGAGAGAGUGUACGGCCACAUUGGGACUGAGACACGGCCCAGACUCCUACGGGAGGCAGCAGUGGGGAAUUUUGCACAAUGGGGGAAACCCUGAUGCAGCGACGCCGCGUGAUUUAGAAGGCCUUCGGGUUGUAAAAAUCUUUUGUAUGGGAAGAAAAUGACAGUACCAUACGAAUAAGGACCGGCUAAUUACGUG
This 477-nucleotide ribosomal RNA is filed under the name uncultured bacterium. RNAcentral's name for it is "partial 16S ribosomal RNA". It matches the Rfam family "Bacterial small subunit ribosomal RNA", at positions 28 to 507 of the family's 1533-position model. The record is from RNAcentral.